RNAcentral lists this ribosomal RNA (2250 nucleotides) under Escherichia coli. RNAcentral's name for it is "bacterial LSU rRNA". It matches the Rfam family "Bacterial large subunit ribosomal RNA", at positions 591 to 2826 of the family's 2925-position model. The record is from RNAcentral. Lineage: Bacteria; Pseudomonadati; Pseudomonadota; Gammaproteobacteria; Enterobacterales; Enterobacteriaceae.
GUGUGACUGCGUACCUUUUGUAUAAUGGGUCAGCGACUUAUAUUCUGUAGCAAGGUUAACCGAAUAGGGGAGCCGAAGGGAAACCGAGUCUUAACUGGGCGUUAAGUUGCAGGGUAUAGACCCGAAACCCGGUGAUCUAGCCAUGGGCAGGUUGAAGGUUGGGUAACACUAACUGGAGGACCGAACCGACUAAUGUUGAAAAAUUAGCGGAUGACUUGUGGCUGGGGGUGAAAGGCCAAUCAAACCGGGAGAUAGCUGGUUCUCCCCGAAAGCUAUUUAGGUAGCGCCUCGUGAAUUCAUCUCCGGGGGUAGAGCACUGUUUCGGCAAGGGGGUCAUCCCGACUUACCAACCCGAUGCAAACUGCGAAUACCGGAGAAUGUUAUCACGGGAGACACACGGCGGGUGCUAACGUCCGUCGUGAAGAGGGAAACAACCCAGACCGCCAGCUAAGGUCCCAAAGUCAUGGUUAAGUGGGAAACGAUGUGGGAAGGCCCAGACAGCCAGGAUGUUGGCUUAGAAGCAGCCAUCAUUUAAAGAAAGCGUAAUAGCUCACUGGUCGAGUCGGCCUGCGCGGAAGAUGUAACGGGGCUAAACCAUGCACCGAAGCUGCGGCAGCGACGCUUAUGCGUUGUUGGGUAGGGGAGCGUUCUGUAAGCCUGUGAAGGUGUACUGUGAGGUAUGCUGGAGGUAUCAGAAGUGCGAAUGCUGACAUAAGUAACGAUAAAGCGGGUGAAAAGCCCGCUCGCCGGAAGACCAAGGGUUCCUGUCCAACGUUAAUCGGGGCAGGGUGAGUCGACCCCUAAGGCGAGGCCGAAAGGCGUAGUCGAUGGGAAACAGGUUAAUAUUCCUGUACUUGGUGUUACUGCGAAGGGGGGACGGAGAAGGCUAUGUUGGCCGGGCGACGGUUGUCCCGGUUUAAGCGUGUAGGCUGGUUUUCCAGGCAAAUCCGGAAAAUCAAGGCUGAGGCGUGAUGACGAGGCACUACGGUGCUGAAGCAACAAAUGCCCUGCUUCCAGGAAAAGCCUCUAAGCAUCAGGUAACAUCAAAUCGUACCCCAAACCGACACAGGUGGUCAGGUAGAGAAUACCAAGGCGCUUGAGAGAACUCGGGUGAAGGAACUAGGCAAAAUGGUGCCGUAACUUCGGGAGAAGGCACGCUGAUAUGUAGGUGAAGCGACUUGCUCGUGGAGCUGAAAUCAGUCGAAGAUACCAGCUGGCUGCAACUGUUUAUUAAAAACACAGCACUGUGCAAACACGAAAGUGGACGUAUACGGUGUGACGCCUGCCCGGUGCCGGAAGGUUAAUUGAUGGGGUCAGCGCAAGCGAAGCUCUUGAUCGAAGCCCCGGUAAACGGCGGCCGUAACUAUAACGGUCCUAAGGUAGCGAAAUUCCUUGUCGGGUAAGUUCCGACCUGCACGAAUGGCGUAAUGAUGGCCAGGCUGUCUCCACCCGAGACUCAGUGAAAUUGAACUCGCUGUGAAGAUGCAGUGUACCCGCGGCAAGACGGAAAGACCCCGUGAACCUUUACUAUAGCUUGACACUGAACAUUGAGCCUUGAUGUGUAGGAUAGGUGGGAGGCUUUGAAGUGUGGACGCCAGUCUGCAUGGAGCCGACCUUGAAAUACCACCCUUUAAUGUUUGAUGUUCUAACGUGGACCCGUAAUCCGGGUUGCGGACAGUGUCUGGUGGGUAGUUUGACUGGGGCGGUCUCCUCCUAAAGAGUAACGGAGGAGCACGAAGGUUGGCUAAUCCUGGUCGGACAUCAGGAGGUUAGUGCAAUGGCAUAAGCCAGCUUGACUGCGAGCGUGACGGCGCGAGCAGGUGCGAAAGCAGGUCAUAGUGAUCCGGUGGUUCUGAAUGGAAGGGCCAUCGCUCAACGGAUAAAAGGUACUCCGGGGAUAACAGGCUGAUACCGCCCAAGAGUUCAUAUCGACGGCGGUGUUUGGCACCUCGAUGUCGGCUCAUCACAUCCUGGGGCUGAAGUAGGUCCCAAGGGUAUGGCUGUUCGCCAUUUAAAGUGGUACGCGAGCUGGGUUUAGAACGUCGUGAGACAGUUCGGUCCCUAUCUGCCGUGGGCGCUGGAGAACUGAGGGGGGCUGCUCCUAGUACGAGAGGACCGGAGUGGACGCAUCACUGGUGUUCGGGUUGUCAUGCCAAUGGCACUGCCCGGUAGCUAAAUGCGGAAGAGAUAAGUGCUGAAAGCAUCUAAGCACGAAACUUGCCCCGAGAUGAGUUCUCCCUGACUCCUUGA